RNAcentral lists this transfer RNA (63 nucleotides) under Pseudoniphargus sp. 1-Portugal. RNAcentral's name for it is "tRNA-Lys". Lineage: Eukaryota; Metazoa; Arthropoda; Malacostraca; Amphipoda; Allocrangonyctidae. The record is from RNAcentral.
CACCGGAUGGCCGAUAAAGGCCUAAGUCUUUUAAACUUAUAAUAGAAAUUUUUCUUCCAGUGA